GAUGAACGCUAGUGGGAGGCCUAACAUAUGCAAGCCGAGCGGUAUUGUUUCUUCGGAAAUGAGAGAGCGGCGUACGGGUGCGGAACACGUGUGCAACCUGCCUUUAUCUGGGGGAUAGCCUUUCGAAAGGAAGAUUAAUACUCCAUAACAUAUUGAUUGGCAUCAAUUAAUAUUGAAAGCUCCGGCGGAUAGAGAUGGGCACGCGCAAGAUUAGCUAGUUGGUGAGGUAACGGCUCACCAAGGCGAUGAUCUUUAGGGGGCCUGAGAGGGUGAUCCCCCACACUGGUACUGAGACACGGACCAGACUCCUACGGGAGGCAGCAGUGAGGAAUAUUGGUCAAUGGGUGCAAGCCUGAACCAGCCAUCCCGCGUGAAGGACGACUGCCCUAUGGGUUGUAGACUUCUUUUGUAUAGGGAUAAACCUACCCUCGUGAGGGUAGCUGAAGGUACUAUACGAAUAAGCACCGGCUAACUCCGUGCCAGCAGCCGCGGUAAUACGGAGGGUGCAAGCGUUAUCCGGAUUUAUUGGGUUUAAAGGGUCCGUAGGCGGACUUAUAAGUCAGUGGUGAAAGCCUGUCGCUUAACGAUAGAACUGCCAUUGAUACUGUAAGUCUUGAGUAUAUUUGAGGUAGCUGGAAUAAGUAGUGUAGCGGUGAAAUGCAUAGAUAUUACUUAGAACACCAAUUGCGAAGGCAGGUUACCAAGAUAUAACUGACGCUGAGGGACGAAAGCGUGGGGAGCGAACAGGAUUAGAUACCCUGGUAGUCCACGCCGUAAACGAUGCUAACUCGUUUUUGGGCUUUAGGGUUCAGAGACCAAGCGAAAGUGAUAAGUUAGCCACCUGGGGAGUACGCUCGCAAGGGUGAAACUCAAAGGAAUUGACGGGGGCCCGCACAAGCGGUGGAUUAUGUGGUUUAAUUCGAUGAUACGCGAGGAACCUUACCGAGACUUAAAUGGGAAUUGGCAGCUUUAGAAAUAGAACUUUCUUCGGACAAUUUUCAAGGUGCUGCAUGGUUGUCGUCAGCUCGUGCCGUGAGGUGUUAGGUUAAGUCCUGCAACGAGCGCAACCCCUGUCACUAGUUGCCAUCAUUCAGUUGGGGACUCUAGUGAGACUGCCUACGCAAGUAGAGAGGAAGGUGGGGAUGACGUCAAAUCAUCACGGCCCUUACGUCUUGGGCCACACACGUAAUACAAUGGCCGGUACAGAGGGCAGCUACACAGCGAUGUGAUGCAAAUCUCGAAAGCCGGUCUCAGUUCGGAUUGGAGUCUGCAACUCGACUCUAUGAAGCUGGAAUCGCUAGUAAUCGCGCAUCAGCCAUGGCGCGGUGAAUACGUUCCCGGGCCU
Molecule: ribosomal RNA, 1345 nt
Filed under: uncultured bacterium
Lineage: Bacteria
Description: bacterial SSU rRNA
Rfam family: Bacterial small subunit ribosomal RNA
Source: RNAcentral